RNAcentral lists this long non-coding RNA (6093 nucleotides) under Theobroma cacao (cacao). RNAcentral's name for it is "long non-coding RNA (TCAC_LNC001451)". Lineage: Eukaryota; Viridiplantae; Streptophyta; Magnoliopsida; Malvales; Malvaceae. The record is from RNAcentral.
UAAACAUGUGUGCAGAAAGUUGGAAACAUGAAUGGAAGAGCCACGGAAUUUGUUCAGAUUAUCCGGCCGACGAGCCUGCGGAAUACUUCGGCGCUACCUUAACACUUGCCCAAAAUUAUAAUUAUGAUCCAUUAAAAGGCACAAAGGUUGUACCUCGAGAAGAGCCUUAUCCAGCAAUAGAGAUUGUGAAUGCUGUCAAAGAAAAAGUUAAAGCAACUCCCCAAAUUCAAUGCAAUAAAAAGGACGGAACCCUCCAGUUGCUGGAAAUUCGUUUAUGUUUUGCUAGGGCAAAGCCUCCUGGCCCCCCCAUCGACUGCCCACACACAUUUGACCCACAAGGCGUCUGUAAACAGGAGACUGACCUUAUAAAGUUCACUCCUGCACCAACAGAUUCGCAUGGAUAUAACCAGCAUUUCGAGGUAGGAAUGGAUAUGAAGAGUAGUUUCAAGUGAGGACGUAUAACGAAUAAGAAUAUAAAUCUUUGGAGCUAUCUGUACAUAUUUUUGAAAAUAUGAUAAGAAAUAAGCAGCUCCGGCCUUGUACUUUGGACUUUCUUAAUAAAAUCACAUAUAUCUACUAAAUAAUAGAGGUCCAUUUUAUAACAAAUGGAAUUCAUUCUCUAUAAUAGUCAAAUAUAAUGAAUGUAUGUACCUACGUUUUCAACACUAUAUAUAUAUAUGUUUGAACUACACAAAUUAUAGCAUCAAUUUGGAAGCUUCUCUUUACUAUGGUGAUUUAAUUUUUGUAAACUAUUUUUGGUUUGUCUCUUAAUUAAUUUAAGUUGCAUAUAAUUUUAUGAUAGAUAUCCUUUCACUAUAUAUGUUAAUUUUAUAGUAAUUUUCAACUUUCAACUAUUGCCUCUGCAACAACACAAAUUAAUCCAGAUAUAUUAGAAGUGGAUGAAUUUUGGAAUUUGUUAGUUCAAAAAUAUAUGUUCAUGUCUCCUUAGCUAUAUCUGUUUAAGUACAUAUCUUUAUUAAUUACUAUAUAUUUAUUUAACCAUGCCGUCCUCAUGUAGGAGACCCCAAGAACUAGAGUUUUAACACUCCAUCCCGAAAUUUUUAAGUUCAAAUCUUGAUAUGAACAAGACAAAAUUUAUGGGAUGAGAAAAAAUUGGUUUCUUAUCUAUUUACUUAUUUCCUGUGGUUCUUUUUUCGAUUUUGAGUGGAUGGAAUUUGUUUGUAUAUACAAUUUCAUAAUUGUGACAGUGAUGACUCAAUAAUUUCAAAAGCUUAAAAUAAGAUAUUCAAAUGAGACCUUUUUAUUGAAAUCAAAAAACAAAUUUAAAACUUUGAAUAAAUAAAUUUAUAUUUUUGAUUUGACAUAUUUAAAUAUUUAUUAUGAAAUAUAAAAAAUAUUUAACUAUUAUAAUCAUUUUAUAUUUUUUUAAUGGUUAAUAUAAAAUCAACAAUCAAAAUUUCUAAUUUAAUAAAUUAAUUAUCACAUAAAAUAAAGAUAAUAUAAUAAUAUAAUAUAAACUCUAAAUAAAUAUAAAAAAGUAUGUAAAGAUUAGAAUAAUAGUAUCUAAUUGUUGAAUGUUUAUUGUAAAUCGUAAAUGAAGCUCGCAGUUUUAUGAAGAUAAUAAUAUAACAAACUUCUUAUGUAUUAUUUGGAGGAAAUAUGAAAUUAAAAGGAAGAAAGAGCAAAUGACAUAACAAAAAUUUAAGAGUGAAUAUUAUAAAUUAAAAAAAUUGAGAAAUGAUAAAAAAAUUGAGAUUUAUAAAUAAAUAAAUAUCAUUUUAUUAAUUAAUUUUUACUUUUACAUAUUUUUAAUAGAAAAUGAGAUAAUUAGUUCAGAAAUAAUAAGUAUGUGGAAGUAAGAGAAAAUAAAUAUUUAUUAAAUAUGACAAAAUAGAUAAAUAUUUUAUUAAUUAUUUUAAUUUUUAUAUAUAUUUAAUAUAAUUAAUUUUAUUUUUAUUAUUAUUAUAAAAAUAUGUCAUCUUUUCAAAUUUGGGACCUAAAACUCUUAUAUGGGUGGCUUUACCCAAAGACCAAUCCUGAAUUGUGAUCUUUAUAUGUUCUGUCAACGAUAUAUCAACAAUAGGUCAUAUUGACUUUUUUUCUUUAAAAAAAAAAGCCAAAUCAUUGUAUUGAUCAUUGAAUAAUAUCAUCAAAGCCUGAUCCAAUGUUCAUAAAAGUUUUUUUUUUACAGGUAAUGUUAAUAAAAGUUAUCAAGCAAAAGGAUUUAUUUGUUUUGCAUUUGUCCUUUCCAACAUUUUUUUAAUAAUUCUUAAACUCGAAACACUCCAUCCUUAUAUACUGAAUAUCUACUUUAAUAUAUCUAUGUAAAAACAUAAAUUCAUACUUGUUAUUUAUUUCGUAACAACUUUUGAAUUAAAUUUCCAAAAAAACAACAACUUUUGACUUAAAACACAGUAACGUAUCUUUUUUUUUUUUUUUUACUUUAGUAACAUAUCUUUUAUAAUAAAAUAAAUAGGUAUCAACUUUCAGGAACAUAUUUUGUUAUAAUAAAAAAAAAAAUUGUAACAACUUUUAGAUCAAGUGUCCUAUUCAAAGUCUGCACCACCUAAAAUAAAGUCAAGUUUGUGAGUAAAUUAUUUGGAAAGUUUUCAACCUUUAAACCAUUAUUAUGAAAUAUUGAAAAGGAGAAAAAAUAAUCAAAAGACCUAUCCAGUCUUUGUACUCUUCAAGUUUGUUUAAUUUAAUCUUUGUACUUAAAAUCGAAGCAAUUUAAUCUUUUGAUUUUAGAAAUUGCAUCAAUUUAGUCCUCCUCCCUAACAACAUUCAAUUUUACUGUUAAAGAAUGACGUCAAAGAUGACAUCAUUGCUGACGUGUCACAUUUUGAUGAUGUGACAUUGAAAUGAUGACAUGGCAUGUCACGUGGCACUAAGUGAUGACGUGACAAUAUAUGAUGACAUGACAGUGUUGACGAGGCACUAACAUGUUGACAUGUCAGUGUCACGUGACAAAUCAAAAAAUUUUCAAAAAAAAAUUCUGCCACGUCAUAGGAAUUAAAUUGAACAAAAAUAUAUAGUAUAGGGAUUAAAUUGAAUAAAAUUGAGAUGUUGAGAGACUAAAUUGAAAAAAAAAUUAAAAAAUAUAAAUAUUUAAGUAGAUUAUUGAUAUGCUUAUUAAUAAGCUAAAUAUUUAAGUAUAAAAAAUUUAUGAUGUUAAAAACUAUAUAUAAAUAUUUUCUUAUUUGAUUAUUUGAUUCUAAAAUAUGUAAAUUAAUUUAUUUUUUUAUAAAAAUUAAGUUUGAAUUCUCCUUCUAUAAAAAAUUUUUGAAAAAAUUUUAUACCUACAGUCAAAUUUAGAUGAAUAACUUGUAUUAUGUUAAAAUAAAAUAAUAAAAAAUGACUAAAUAAUUUUUUUUCUAUUUAUAAUAGUAUAAAAAUUUAAAAUUUAUUUAACUUAGUUUUUAACUUAAGUUAAAGUCAAAUUAGUAAAAUAUGUUGAUUUAGUUUUUUCUUUUAAAAAAAUAAAAAACGGAGAUAUGGAGUUAGCGAUGAUUAUAAAAAUAAUUCUCUAUUUCGACUUGCUUAAUUUGGAUAUGACAAACCUCUUAUUACAAUAAUAGAAUCUGAACUCCACUUUUUGAAUUAUUUAUUUAUUUUUUAUUUUUUUAUUUUGUUUAAUAUUUCAAGUUAUAUUUUUUUAAGUUAAAAUUUCUUAGAUUAAAAACUAUAAAUAUAACUGUAAAGUUAUAUGGUUGAUAAAGUUAAAUAUAAAUAUAAAUAUUUGUAAUAUUUUAUUUUAUUAAUAAAUUUUUUGUAAAUUCAAAUUAAUAAUUUUAAUUUAAAUUUCGUAGAAUUUGAUUGUGAGAUUUGAAUUUAAAUAAAAUUAUUUUAUAAGAAAUUUUGAGUAAAUUUAAAUAAAAAGUAAAUUGGGUAAGAGUUGAAUAAUUUCAAAAAAAUGUGUGUUUGUAAAUUGUGAAAGUUGUAACUAAAUUAACAUAUUUUGCUAAUUUGAGUAAAUUUAAAUAAAAAGUAAAUUGGUAAGAGUUGAAUAAUUUCAAAAGAACGUGUAUUUGUAAAUUCUAAAAAUUAUAACUAAAUCAACAUAUUUAGUUGUUUUAUAUUAUUUUAUUUUAAUAUAAUGUAAGUUAUUCAUCUAAAUUUGAUUUUAGGUAUGAAAUUUUUUCAAAUCUUUUUUAUAGAAGGAGAAUUCAAACUUAAUUUUUGUAAAAAAGAUAAAUUAAUUUACAUAUUCUAGAAUCAAAUAAUCAAGUAAGAAAAUGUUAAUAUGUAUUUUUUAACACCAUAAAUCUUUUACACUUAAAUAUCGAGCUUAUUAAUAAGCAUAUCAAUAAUCUACUUAAAGAUUUAUAUUUUUUUAAAUAUUUUAUACAAUUUAAUCCUUAACAUCACAAUUUUGUUCAAUUUAAUCUCUGUACCAUAUAUGUUUGUUCAAUUUAAUCCUUAUGACAUUACAAAAAUUUUUUUUAAAAAAAAUUUUUAAUUUACCAUGUGGCACUGACAUGUUGACAUGUCAAUGCCACGUCGACAUUGCUACAUCAUGGUAUAGUGCCACAUGACAUUACCACGUCAUCACUAGGUGCCACGUGGCAUGCCAUAUCAUCAUCUUAAUACCACAUCAUCAAAUGUGACAUGUCACUGAUAAUGUUAUCGUUGAUGUCAUCUUUUAACGACAAAAUUAAAUAUCGUUAGGAAAAAGAUUAAAUUGAGGUAAUUUUUAAAAUUAAUAGAUUAAAUUACUUAAAUUUUGAAUAUAGAGAUUAAAUUGAAUAAAAUUAAAAAAAAUAUAAAAAUUAGAUAAAUCUUUUGAUUAAAAAAUUUUAUAAUAUAUUUAAAAAGAAUGUGAGGCAUUUUUCUCAAAUCACGUGUGAAGGGCAUAGGAAAAAAGAGAAAAAGAAAAAAAAAAAAGAGAAGUAUAAAGAGAAAGAAAAAAGCGGGUAGAAAGAGACUCGAACUCAUCGCAUGGGCCUAGGCUAGUAAUAAAUAAAUCGACUAAAUACACAACAACCAAAGACUGGAAAUUUCCUAGCAAGUUCGCAAACAAGAAAAGUAAAGAAUGACCAGACCAAAUUUAUAGAAGAACAAAAAAAUAAUGAUAAUAAAUUGACCAAUCACACAAUAAAGAAGGACUUUUCCUAAAUAAACUAGCAACAAGGUUCUUUUAACAUCGACCCUCACCUUCUCUCUCUAAAAUAAACAGAUCUAAAAACCUUUCCUCGCUGUUCCAGAGAAAAGGAGAAAGAAAAGAUGGAUAAUCGGUGUCUACUGUUGAUUUAUCUGCUAGCUGCUAUCAUCUUACUUCUUGCAAUAUUAUUCUCAAGGGAUAAUAAAGAGUUCAGCUUCUACAAACUCAGCUUCCGAUGGCCACCUUCUGCAUGUAACCAGGGCAGUCUGGAGUGUAAACCUGAUACCCUUGGGUAUUUUACCAUCCAUGGUUUAUGGCCAAUGUAUGAGGAUGACACGCAAGUGCCUCCAUAUGAUCCCAAAAAGAACAAGUGUACCGAUGUCACUCCUACAGACCCCAAAAAUCUUUUGGUAAGCAAAUUAUUGUUCUUAUAUAUUUAUUUAUUUUGCUUAAAACUAAUUAGAGUAAUUAAAUAACGCAAGGAACCCUCUUUAAUUCCAAACAAAUAAAUCCCAACAUAACUUGAAACCUCACACUAGAGAUUUAAUCACCACAUCAUAAAUUAGUGUCUGAUAAUGUAAGAGUCAGUAUCUAUAACAUCUUCUUUUUUGCUUCUAGUCUAUUUAUUUGUGCUUUUUAAUUAUAUAUUUUUUCUUCAAUUUACAGCCUCUAUUGAAGUCCAUUGAAACGACUUUGCAAAAAUAUUGGCCAAACUAUAAGAACUAUGAAAAUAUAAACAUGUGUGCAGAAAGUUGGAAACAUGAAUGGAAGAACCACGGAAUUUGUUCAGAUUAUCCGGCCGACAAGCCUGUGGAAUACUUCGGCGCUACCUUAACACUUGCCCAAAAUUAUAAUUAUGAUCCAUUGAAAGGCACAAAGGUUGUACCUCGAGAAGAUCCUUAUCCAGCAACAGAGAUUGUGAAUGCUGUCAAAGAAAAAGUUAAAGCAACUCCCCAAAUUCAAUGCAAUAAAAAGGACGGAACCCUCCAAUUGCUGGAAAUUCGUUUAUGUUUUGCUAAGGCGAAGCCUCU